This 589-nucleotide long non-coding RNA is filed under the name Setaria viridis. RNAcentral describes it as "long non-coding RNA (SVIR_LNC004356)". Lineage: Eukaryota; Viridiplantae; Streptophyta; Magnoliopsida; Poales; Poaceae. The record is from RNAcentral.
AGAAACAGAGAGGGAGAGAAAGAAGGGAAGGAGGAAAGAAAGAGAGGAAAGAAGGGGAAGAAAUCUCCUAGGAUUCAGGUAAGUUUUUCAAUAUCGUAGUAUAGUAUAUCUAAAAAUACAUUGUGCUUUUAGAUGGUAAAAAUCUAGCUUAGUAUGUAUAGUAGAUUCGGUAUUUAUUUUGUAGUUUAGUAUUUAGAUCUACGGAUAUGUAUGUGUUUUUAGAUGUUAAAAAUGUAGCUUCGUUAGUAUAGUAUUGCAUUCGGUUUUUAGUUCAUAGUUGUAACGCCCGCAGAAAUCACUAGCUAAAUUCACCCGUUAAAAAUUGUCUUUAAAACCUUUUUACCGCUGAGCUCCCGGAAAUCGGGAACCUCCCCGGCGAUUUCGCCGUCCCGGUACCAUGCCGACCCCCACCUAUCUUUUUAUCUGUGCCCGUGAAUCUCGCCGCGUGCCGUUGUCAGACGCCGUGCGCGUGCCCCGACCGCGUGCCGCGAAUGCCGCCGGUCUCUCCCUUUCCCUUUCUCUUUUCCCCCUUUUCCUCCUUUUCUUUUUCCUUCUUCUUUCUUCCUCUUUCUUCUUCCUCCCUUCUUCU